This 465-nucleotide ribosomal RNA is filed under the name uncultured bacterium. RNAcentral's name for it is "partial 16S ribosomal RNA". It matches the Rfam family "Bacterial small subunit ribosomal RNA", at positions 28 to 507 of the family's 1533-position model. The record is from RNAcentral.
GACGAACGCUGGCGGCGUGCUUAACACAUGCAAGUCGAACGGAAAGGCCCCUUUGGGGGUACUCGCGUGGCGAACGGGCGAGUAACACGUGAGUAACCUGCCCUUGACUUCGGGAUAACUUCAGGAAACUGGGGCUAAUACCGGAUAGGAAUCCUUGCUGCAUGGUUGGGGGUGGAAAGCUUCUGCGGUUUUGGGUGGACUCGCGGCUUAUCAGCUUGUUGGUGGGGGGGUGGCUUACCAAGGCUUUGACGGGUAGGCGGCCUGGGGGGGCGACCGGCCACAAUGGGGAUGGGAUACGGCCCAGACUCCCACGGGGGGCAGGAGGGGGGAAUAUUGGACAAUGGGGGGGAGGCUGAUGCAGCAAAGGCGCGGGGGGGAUGACGGGCUUCGGGUUGUAAACCGCUUUCAGCAGGGGCGAAGCUUGUGGUGACGGUACCUGCAGAAGAAGCACCGGCUAACUACGUG